This 476-nucleotide ribosomal RNA is filed under the name Curvularia prasadii. RNAcentral describes it as "eukaryotic LSU rRNA". The stretch from base 122 to 275 matches the Rfam family "5.8S ribosomal RNA". Lineage: Eukaryota; Fungi; Ascomycota; Dothideomycetes; Pleosporales; Pleosporaceae. The record is from RNAcentral.
CACCCUUGUCUUUUGCGCACUUGUUGUUUCCUGGGCGGGUUCGCCCGCCACCAGGACCACACCAUAAACCUUUUUUAUGCAGUUGCAAUCAGCGUCAGUAUAACAAAUGUAAAUCAUUUACAACUUUCAACAACGGAUCUCUUGGUUCUGGCAUCGAUGAAGAACGCAGCGAAAUGCGAUACGUAGUGUGAAUUGCAGAAUUCAGUGAAUCAUCGAAUCUUUGAACGCACAUUGCGCCCUUUGGUAUUCCAAAGGGCAUGCCUGUUCGAGCGUCAUUUGUACCCUCAAGCUUUGCUUGGUGUUGGGCGUCUUUUGUCUUUGGCCUCGCCCAAAGACUCGCCUUAAAACGAUUGGCAGCCGGCCUACUGGUUUCGCAGCGCAGCACAUUUUUGCGCUUUGCAAUCAGCACAAGGACGGCAAUCCAUCAAGACUACAUUUUUACGUUUGACCUCGGAUCAGGUAGGGAAACCAACCCC